UUAACUCGAAUUUGUAUGGAGUUGGAACGCUUGCCUACGUUUGCCGCUAAGGGCGCUGUUUAAACUGCAUGCAAAGGACA
Non-coding RNA from Bombyx mori (domestic silkworm), 80 nucleotides. The record is from Rfam. NCBI's taxonomy places the organism in Eukaryota, Metazoa, Arthropoda, Insecta, Lepidoptera, Bombycidae.